This is a long non-coding RNA of Microtus oregoni (creeping vole), 296 nucleotides long. RefSeq lists it as uncharacterized. The record is from RefSeq and is a predicted model, not a curated record. NCBI's taxonomy places the organism in Eukaryota, Metazoa, Chordata, Mammalia, Rodentia, Cricetidae. The transcript has 3 exons.
UCGAUGAUGAUUCCCAGUCAAUCAUUCCUUGGAAAAGCUGAACAAAAUGAGUGAAAACUCAGUACCACCGCUCUCAUCGAGACUGAGGUCCUGCACCUUGGGUCACCCAGGUCUUCUGGUAGUUGGAUACGGUGUUGCAUCUGUGGCACACAUGGCCACAGGGGAAACAGAAUGGCCCAACACCCCAGGCCAUGCCUAGGGCUGAUGGCAGCAGCCUGAGCCUAUUGCACUGUUGCCCACUGGUGUUGGUGACUUUUUUGCAGCAGAAGGCCCGAGGACCCAGUGUUGCAUCUGUG